RNAcentral lists this long non-coding RNA (454 nucleotides) under Heterocephalus glaber (naked mole-rat). Its description in RNAcentral is "lncRNA (ENSHGLG00100042372.1)". Lineage: Eukaryota; Metazoa; Chordata; Mammalia; Rodentia; Bathyergidae. The record is from RNAcentral.
AUUUACUAAUGUUACCACCUUUUAUAUACAGUGGCCAUCUGUCAAAAUUCAGAAAUUAAUUUUGGACACUAUAUUAUUUACUAAACUACAGACAUCAUUGGGCUUUUAAAGAGUUUCUCCACUAACAUCCUUUUGUUCCAGGACCCAAGCCAGAGUAUCACAUUGGGCUUACUUAGUUCUCCACGCCUCCAGUCUUCUCCACCAUGUGAUAGUAUCUCCGUCUUUUCAUGACCGUGACCCUGAAGAGUACAGUUACUGAAAGAAAAGAUGUCUACAGUAUACUGUUAAUAAAGUUCUAAAGUUCUGUGUCUGAAGAAGGAAACCAACUCAAGAGUUGUCUGGGGACUGCCACCUCAAGUUGGGACUUGACUUUCAGAAGAAUGGCACAGACUUUCUUUUCAAAAGAAUGAAUAGAAUUCAUAGACGGCCCCCGUAAACACCCUCCACAACUCUG